UGGGGCGUGGGGUAACCCGGCAGCCCGGCGGAUUCUGGUUCCGCUAGUCCUGGUUCGAAUCCAGGCGCCCCAG
This 73-nucleotide transfer RNA is filed under the name Actinomycetota bacterium. RNAcentral describes it as "tRNA-Gln". It matches the Rfam family "tRNA". Rfam says of the family: Transfer RNA (tRNA) molecules are approximately 80 nucleotides in length. Their secondary structure includes four short double-helical elements and three loops (D, anti-codon, and T loops). Further hydrogen bonds mediate the characteristic L-shaped molecular structure. tRNAs have two regions of fundamental functional importance: the anti-codon, which is responsible for specific mRNA codon recognition, and the 3' end, to which the tRNAs corresponding amino acid is attached (by aminoacyl-tRNA synthetases). tRNAs cope with the degeneracy of the genetic code in two manners: having more than one tRNA (with a specific anti-codon) for a particular amino acid; and 'wobble' base-pairing, i.e. permitting non-standard base-pairing at the 3rd anti-codon position. Lineage: Bacteria; Bacillati; Actinomycetota. The record is from RNAcentral.